Molecule: long non-coding RNA, 2175 nt
Organism: Panicum hallii
Lineage: Eukaryota; Viridiplantae; Streptophyta; Magnoliopsida; Poales; Poaceae
Exons: 3
Source: RefSeq, a predicted model, not a curated record
UAGUGGUACGGAUGUGGGUAACCAACACUGAGGGCGAGCAGUUUGAGUGGCAAUAGGGCUGGAGCAUUCGUCGGUCCAGCGGAUGACGAGGUCUGGGAACAUCACAAGCUGUUGCCUGCAUCACAGUUGGGAGCCAAAUAAGAUCCAUGGCAAAGCCAUAUAUCCAGUCUCCAUCAUGCAUAGGGUUAUAUGAACAAGGGGAAGUCCAAGGAGAUGACAGUAACUACUAUGGUCAAGAUAUGCGCAUAACGAUGCUAUCAUUCAUUCCUUGACAUUAGACGUGGGGCUGUUCUAAUCCAUAUCUUUGCUUACUAUGAGAAAGUAUGAACACAUGGAUCCUUUUCUUUAUUCACACAUUGCAAUAGCCAUUUGUAAUUGAUAUGUUGAAAGCAAACCAUGUUCAUCGGCAAGUUGCUUGGAUACACUGAUUCUCCUAGGAACCAAUGCAGGUAGUAAAUUUUGGUCUUAUCAAUAUUUACACAGGAUUGUGCUGAUCUAGCACUAUCUACAGAUUUAUUUAAUUUGUAUAUUUUUCUGUUCCGCUAUUUCAGGUUUCAGUACAUUUACAAUCUAAUUGAUCAGUCCUUUAGAGGCUUCCAGGUUCAGCUGUGGCCAUCGUGACUACAAGCUGCUAAGAGCGACAGCCGUGUGGAGCACUGCAUGUUCCGUGAGUUGUGCUAAUAAAUGGGUUAACAAACAUGUUGUGGUCAGCAUUGAGUUCAUCACCUGUCUGUUCUUCCUGCUAUUCCAAUAAGAUUUGGAGAGGAAGCUGAGGUGCUAAAGAAGAAGAGAUUUCCACUUUGGGGCCAUGUAAAUCGCAGAAUCAAGUUAGCAUAAAUUAUUGGGAGCUAAUGGAUCUUUUUCCUUCUCCAGUUUCUAUUGCUUUAAUAUAUUUACCCUCAGAUUUGGGCAAUGGAUUCCGGCUCAUGAUUCUUUCAGAUUCCAGAUGUUCUUUGGCACUUUUACUUUUGUUCGACCAAUAGAACACACAUGAACCAUUAAUACAUUAUUUGAUUGAUGUGAAAAUUUCCAGACUGAUCUGAAUUAAACGUGGCAUGGGUUAUUCAUAGGAGAGAAACAGAGUUUAAGAGUUAGUACUAUUGGUUGAUUGAUAUACAGUGUAUCAGUGAUAAAUACUAAGACCUUAGCUAAGCUAUCUCUAUAUAAAUGCGGUUUAUUCUUUUUGGUGUUUUCUCAUUCAUUAAGUUCAACUUUUUAUUGCUGUAUAUACCAAGCUGAAUGCCAUGCAUGAGCUCCAAGACAUCUGUUCUAAGAGAUUUACAUGAGAAUACCAUAUGCAAAUCAUUGACAAGAGGAACUCCAAAAUCAUUGCUGUCCAGAUAUUCUAAAUUUUAUUCUGCCUAUUUAGAAUAAAAUUGAUGUAUCACACAAGUAUCUUUAUGAGAUAUUGCUAUGUCAAUACAUCAAUGUAUUGCUAAGUUGUAGAACCUAUGUCGAAUUAUAAAUAUGUAUUGAGUUAUAAUCCAUUCUCUUCUAAUUUCUACCCUUGCUACUUCUAAACCUUUGAGAAUUGAACCGUGCUUGACAUGAACUCAAGUCACAUGUGUAUAGAGCACUGAAAGAGCACACCAUCAGCUAUCAACAUUUCAAUGAUUAUCUCCUUUUUGCUUGGAUCUGAGGUAUAGUGAAAAUAAUAUUGGAGGAGUAACUCUUUGUUUCCUCAAUGCAAAUGUACAUAAUAUUGGAAGAGUAACCUUUUGUUUUCUCAAUACAAAUGUACAUGAUUUUGAAUUAUUCAUUGAUUGGCAGGUUAGCUUCUUUUUGCAUUGAAUUUUUGUUUUUCGCCCAUGGCAACACACGGGCAUGGACCUAGUAGGACAAGAAAGCUGACUAGUAGCAUCGCAUGACCCAAUCAAAAUAAUACCAUGACAUGAUGGGCCUCUUUGGCACAGCUUCUGCUUCACCAUCAAAGCAAACAGAAAAUAGACAAUGUGCGACCAAAUGGUUGGAUUCUACAGGGCUAUGAGGAAGUAAGGCCACAUUUGAACUAAGAAGCAGAACAGUAGCUGCUUAUUAAAAGCUUGUCCCACAAGCUGGAUACUGCAUAAGCAGUAGUUGUGCCAAAGGGAACCGAUCUGAAUGUGAGUCUGCUACCAUAUUUGAAUAAAAUUUUUAAUUUCCAAUUGAAGAUCCAAGUAUCAAACGCAUAAGCUC